GAAGAGUGAAUGUGUCAAACGUUCUAUGUGCCAAAAAAUUGAAAAAUUGUUUUAUUUCUGAUUUAUGUUCUAUGAGCCAAAGGUCACAAUCUUGUAUGUGUUUCAAGUGUCAAUUAAAUUUUUUACUUGUACAAAAUUGCGUUCAUAGAUUGUAUUUGUUCUGUGAGACAUGCCCUUUGUUACCUGUACGUUCUAAGUGCCUUGGGCGAAUAUAAUAGUUUGACGAUUACAAUAUUAUAAUAUAGUUCGUUAUAUUUCAAAAUAACUAAUACUGGUGUUGUUGUAUUCGUUAAGUUUUCUUUUUCAUUUGUUUAAUUGUGUUAUUAUGGAUACUGAAAGUAUACAUAUUUUACGAAGUGGUAAAAAAAGAAUAAAUGAUCAGACUAAAAAAAGAAUUAGUGGAAAAUCGUAUGCGACCAGGAAAAGCAAUAAUACAAUUCAGGAAAGCGUCAACUUAGUUGUUAUAACUUUGGAAUACAUCUCGGUGACAGCAAUACAGCCUUUAUGUAUAUGUGGGAUGAAAGUAUUGCUUCUCGUGGAAGCUCAGAAAUCGCUUCUUGUCUUUUUAAAGUUAUUAACAAAAACGAAAAUACGAUAAAUCGCAAAAAACUAAUUAUAUGGUCAGACAACUGUGCUGGCCAAAAUAAAAAUAAAACGUUAGUAGUUUUGAUGUUAUAUUUAAUAAAUAUGGGGAUAUUUGAUGAGAUUAUACAAAAAUUUUUGAUAAGUGGCCACUCUCUCUUGGCUUGUGCUCGUGAUUUCGCUAUUAUCGAAAAGAGACGUAGAGUUUUUCAAAAUUUCACUCCUUCUGAUUUACAAGAAAUGGUUAGAGCAGCGAAGUUGAUAAAUCCAUUUCGAGUUAUUCCGAUGGACGAAAACAACUUUUUUUCAUUUAAAGACAUUGCUAACAAUUUUUUUAACACAACCAAGUUUCCAAUGUUCGAUGAUUAAAGUUUCAUUUUUAACUCCCAAAAAAAUCUAUUAUAAAAAAACAUUUUCAGAUGAAGAACUUUGGAAAGAUUUUAACGUUUUUAAAAGAAAUGCUACUAUAGACCAACUUAAAAAUCAGACAUUUAUACCUAUACCGAAACCCACAUUGUCGUCAGAGAAGAAAAAAGAUUUGUUGGCCAUGAUUCCUUUUUUACCUGAUAAGCACAGAAACUUCUAUAAAAAUAUAACGUCAUGAAUUAAUUUUUUUUGCUAUUUAUUAUGAUGUUGCUAUGUUCUAAUUAUGUUUAAUCUAAAUUUUUUUUUUAAUUAUUAUUAGGUUUGUUAAUUUAUUUUUCAAUUUGUGAUACUCAAGAAAGCUACUGUUUUCUUUUCUUGUUACAUUUUUAUAUGAAGAAAAAAUUUUAUUUUACGUUUUGAGAUUUACUGACAAUGUCAUGUUAGAUUAAGAGUAUUUUUUAUUUAAGUUUGUACAUUUAUUUUUCAAU
Long non-coding RNA from Daktulosphaira vitifoliae (grape phylloxera), 1436 nucleotides. RefSeq lists it as uncharacterized. The record is from RefSeq and is a predicted model, not a curated record. The transcript is spliced from 2 exons. NCBI's taxonomy places the organism in Eukaryota, Metazoa, Arthropoda, Insecta, Hemiptera, Phylloxeridae.